RNAcentral lists this ribosomal RNA (108 nucleotides) under Pteropus alecto (black flying fox). RNAcentral also lists the same sequence under 1 other name. Lineage: Eukaryota; Metazoa; Chordata; Mammalia; Chiroptera; Pteropodidae. The record is from RNAcentral.
GUCUACAACCAUGCUACCCUGAAUGUGCCCGAACCCGAAGCUGAGCAGGAUCGGGCCUGGUUAGUACUUGGAUGGGAGACCAACUAAGAAGACCAGGUGCUGUAGGUG